Molecule: RNA transcript, 1699 nt
Organism: Sapajus apella (tufted capuchin)
Lineage: Eukaryota; Metazoa; Chordata; Mammalia; Primates; Cebidae
Gene name: nuclear receptor-binding factor 2 pseudogene
Exons: 1
Source: RefSeq, a predicted model, not a curated record
CUUGCCCCGGGGUCUAUGGAAGUAAUGGAAGGACCUCUCAACCUGGCUCAUCAACAGAGCAGAUGAGCAGACCGUUUUUUAGCUGCAGGCAAAUACGAAGAGGCUAUUUCUUGUCACAAAAAGGCUGCCGCGUAUCUUUCUGAAGCCAUGAAGCUGACACAAUCUGAGCAGGCACAUCUUUCACUGGAAUUGCAAAGGGAUAGCCACAUGAAACAGCUCCUCCUCAUCCAAGAGAGAUGGAAAAGUGCCCAGUGUGAAGAAAGAUUGAAAGCCCAGCAGAACACCGACAAGGAUGUAGCUGCCCAUCUUCAGGCAUCUCACAAACCCUCUGCAGAGGAUGCAGAGGGCCAGAGCCCCCUUUCUCAGAAGUACAACCCUUCCACAGAGAAACGCCUGCCUGAGAUUCAGGGGAUCCGUGACAGGGAUCCAGACACACUGCUGUACUUACUUCAGCAAAAGAGUGAGCCAGUGGAGCCAUGUAUUGGAAGCAAAGCCCCAAAAGAUGAUAAAACAAUUAUAGAGGAUCAGACAACCAAAACUGCAGAUUUGAAGAGGCAUGUGGAAUUCCUUGUGGCCGAGAAUGAAAGAUUAAGGAAAGAAAAUAAACAACUAAAGGCUGAAAUGGCCAGACUUCUAAAAGGUCUAAUAGAAAAGGAACUGGAUGUAGAUGCUGGUUUUGUAGAAACGUCAGAGAUACGGAGCUUGCCACCACAUUCAGAAACUGCUACAGCCUCCUCAACCUGGCAGACGUUUGCAGCAAAUGCCGGGAAAGCCAAGGACAUUCCAAUCCCCAGACUUCCUCCCUUGGAUUUUUCUUCUCCAGAACUUCCCCUUAUGGAGCUCUCUGAGGAUAUUCUGAAAGGAUUUAUGAAUAAUUGAAAUGGAAGGCCACAGAAGAGGAGGGGAGAAGAGGAAAUAAUACAGUAAUAGUUAAUCCAGCAAAAAAAAUGAAAAGGGAAAAACCACAUAGAAGGGUCAUCCCGGAAAUGCUUCAUCAUCUGGCAGAAUGUGAGAGAAGAGGCAUUGCCAGGACUUGGGAAACAGUCACUGUGAAAUGUGUCUUGUAUCUGAUUCACUGACUCGUGCUAAUGAUUCCGACUUGGCAGACACUAAACUCAUGGAGGGUUCACUUUCUCCUGAUACAAACCAAAUGGCUACCUGGAAUAAUUUUUUUCAAGCAACAAUUAUUUUUCUUAUCUUCAGGGUUAAAAUGUUUAAAAGUAUGUUAUGCGUAAUUAAUCUCUAAUGCCAUAAAUGAUAAUGCAAAACCUAAAUAAUAUGGUGGCCUGAGGGGCUGCCUUCUAUUUGAAACAAGCUUUCUAUCAUGCAUUGACUGUGUGCGUUUUGUUAAUGCACAUUUUGUUUGUUUAAAUAAGGUGUGUAAGAUACACACCCUUCUAGAGGAAACUAUAUGUGCCACACUUUGCACUACUCAUAAUGAUAAUCUCAAGACUACCAGGAGAAAUAUUUGAAUUUCCAUUUUAUGAAGAAAGGAAGCAAAUUAUUAUGCUUUUUUAAACAAAUUACCAGUUUACAUAAUUAAUCAGAGUGCAUUUUAAGUUCUAACUUUGUUUAUUGUAUAGUGCAUCAUUUGAAAAUACCAAGGAGGAAAUACCCUUUGUUUUUAAUGAUGCAAGAGUGGGGGUAAUGCUAGUUGGCAGUAUUUGAUUGUAAGAAAUCAAUAAAGUAAUUACAUUUU